This 273-nucleotide unclassified non-coding RNA is filed under the name uncultured bacterium. RNAcentral describes it as "partial may contain 16S ribosomal RNA, 16S-23S ribosomal RNA intergenic spacer, and 23S ribosomal RNA". The record is from RNAcentral.
GCGGAAGCUGCGGCUGGAUCACCUCCUUUCUAGGGAUUCCGGAGCAAUUACUCCGGUGGCUCCUGGCUCGUUGAUGAAUUGCAUUGCUUCAAUGAUUCGUCCGAACAACCAGGUCGCCUAGAAUUAUGUCGACCUCGACGAGAGAAUCGCUGCUGAGUUUUGAGAGACCGUCCUGUGGGGCGGUUUUCUCUUGGGCGCUGAGCCCGCACGCACCUUGAAAACUCCAUAGCGACACACAACGUGUUCUUUUCGAUCAAGAGAACAAGAGCACAC